AACGCACAUUGCGCCCGCCGGCAUUCCGGCGGGCACGCCUGUUCGAGCGUCAUUUCAACCCUCGCGCCCGGCGCGGUGAUGGGGAUCCGCGGCACCGCGGGCCCUGAAAACCAGUGGCGGCACCGCCUGGAACGCAGCGUAGUAAAAACACCUCGCUCGCGGCUCCGGGUGGCUGCCCGCCGUGAAACACCCCCCUAGAGUUGACCUCGGAUCAGGUGGGAAUACCCGCUGAACUUAA
This 238-nucleotide unclassified non-coding RNA is filed under the name uncultured fungus. RNAcentral describes it as "partial contains 5.8S ribosomal RNA, internal transcribed spacer 2, and large subunit ribosomal RNA". The record is from RNAcentral. Lineage: Eukaryota; Fungi.